CCUACGGGUGGCAGCAGUGAGGAAUAGUGGUCAAUGGCCGGAAGGCUGAACCAGCCAAGCCGCGUGAGGGAGGAAGGCGCAGAGCGUCGCAGACCUCUUUUGCCGGGGGACAAAAGGACGGACUCGUCCGGGCCUGAGGGGAACCGGAGAAAAAGCAACGGCUAAAUCCGGGCCAGCAGCCGCGGUAAUACGGAGGAGGCGAGCUUUCUCCGGAUGCAUUGGGUUUAAAGGGUGCGCAGGCGGGCCUUUAAGCCGGCGGUGAAAUCGCGGUGCUCAACACCGCCGAGCCGUCGGAAAUGGGGGCCUUGAGUGCGGCGGAGGCAUGCGGAAUGCGCGGUGUAGCGGUGAAAUGCAUAGAUAUCGCGCAGAACCCCGAUUGCGAAGGCAGCGUGCCGUGCCGCCACUGACGCUGAGGCACGAAAGCGCGGGGAUCGAACAGGAUUAGAUACCCCUGUAGUC
This 459-nucleotide ribosomal RNA is filed under the name uncultured bacterium. RNAcentral describes it as "partial 16S ribosomal RNA". It matches the Rfam family "Bacterial small subunit ribosomal RNA", at positions 338 to 795 of the family's 1533-position model. The record is from RNAcentral.